GCACCAAUUCCAAAAACUAAUGAGUUGUCAUAAUUUAAUGUUCUGUUGCCACCAUAAGAACUGACCAGUUGGUUGUCAGAGGGCUGAUUUUGCCUCUCAGGGAACAUUUGGGAACAUCUGGAGGCAUUUCUGGCUGUCAUGACUGUGGCAGGUGGAGAGCGCUGCUACAGACACCUAGGGACUCUAUGAUUCACCGAACAGUCGCCUCGACAGAGUACUAUCUUGUCAACAUCGAAGUAGUGUCAACGUUGAGAAACUGUGGACUGGACAGAUAAGCCCCUGAUGCUCUACCAACAGACACAAGGAUGGAACAAAAGAGACCGUGAAUCCUGGCAGUCUAUAACUCUCCUGUCUCCUUCACUCAGAACAAUUCUAUAUGGGUAAAGAGUUAAACAGUAAAAAUAUAAAAUGAAAACACUGAAAGUAAACAUGAGAAAGUAUUUCUGUAUACUUAAGCAGUGGAAGUCAUGACAUUCCAAGAAAAAUGUAGGUGAAAUUUGAAUAGAUUUGGAAGUCUAAAAUAUGUGAAUACAUCAUUGCUAAUAAUAAAAGAUAUAGAGGGGGGCCGGCCCUGUGGCUGAGUGGUUAAGUUCACGAACUCUGCUUCGGUGGCCCAGGGUUUCACUAGUUCAAAUCCUGCAUGCAGACAUGGCAGCACUCAUGUAGCCAUGCUGAGGCAGCAUCCCACAUGCCACAACUAGAAGGACCCACAACUAAAAAUAUGCAACCAUGUACUGGGGGGCUUUGGGAGAAAAAGGAAAAAUAAAAUCUUUAAAAAAAAACCUCGUAAAUGUUAUAUGCUAGGAAAUUUAAAUUUUAAAAUACAAUCUAAGAUCCCUGACCACAAUGGAAUGAAAAUAGGAAUCAAUAUCUUUGGAAAAUUUGGGGAAACAUGCAAACAGGAGGGAAUUAAAGUUAAGACACUCCUAAAUAAGCAAUGGGUCAAAGAACUCAGUAAGGAAAUUAGAAAAUAUUUUCAACAAAUGAAAAAGGACACAAUCUAACAAAUUUUAUGGGCUACAUUAAAAAUACUACAUAGAUAAAAAUGAUACCCACAAAAGCCUAAACUAACAAAGAAAGAUGCCAAAUCAAUGACCAAACCUUUUACCUAACUCAAAUUCAAAAGGAUCUUACUUCAAAAGGAUGAGAAACCAAACCAAAUGUACUGAGAAAAGGAAAGAAAAAUUCGAGAAGAAAUUAAGGAAAUAGGAAAUAGACAACCCGUAAAGAAAAUCAAUGAAAACCCAAUAUAACUGACAAUAGAAAACCAGCAGAUAAUAGCUGGAUUGACCUAGAGAAAAAUGAGAGCAGACUCAGAUCCCUAGAAGCAGAAUGAAAGAGAGGUUAUCACUACUGAGAUUACAGAAAUCAAAAGGAUUAGAAAGGAAUUAACAAUUGCAUGCAAAUUAGAUUACAUAGAUGUAAUGCACAAAUUCCUACAAAUACACAAAUUGGCAAAAUGACUAAAAAGAAAAUCUGAUUAGAAUUAUGACAAGUGGUUGAAUUAGUAAGCAAAAAACUACCCAUAAGGAAAAGCCCAGGUCCAGAGGAUGUCACAGCAGAAUCCUCCAAAACAUCCAAUCAAGGCUUAACAGGGACUCUUCACAAAGUCUCCCCCAAAACAGAAUCAACACAACACUUCCAACUCAUUUUGGGGCCAGUGUUAUCGUGAUACCAAAAUCAGACAAAAGUAUCCCAAAAAACUACAGACCUAUUUCCUUUGUGAAUAUGGGUCAAGAAAAACCUCAAGUAAUCCUAGUACCUAAUCCAGCAACAACUUAAAAGAUUU
This is a long non-coding RNA of Equus asinus (donkey), 1789 nucleotides long. NCBI's taxonomy places the organism in Eukaryota, Metazoa, Chordata, Mammalia, Perissodactyla, Equidae. The record is from Ensembl.